This 386-nucleotide ribosomal RNA is filed under the name uncultured bacterium. Its description in RNAcentral is "bacterial SSU rRNA". It matches the Rfam family "Bacterial small subunit ribosomal RNA", at positions 28 to 416 of the family's 1533-position model. The record is from RNAcentral.
GACGAACGCUGGCGGCGUGCUUAACACAUGCAAGUCGAGCGGUAAGGCCCUUUCGGGGGUACACGAGCGGCGAACGGGUGAGUAACACGUGGGUGACCUGCCCUCAGCUCUGGGAUAAGCCUGGGAAACCGGGUCUAAUACUGGAUAUGACUCCAUGACGCAUGUUGUGGGGUGGAAAGCCUUGUGCGGCUGAGGAUGGGCCCGCGGCCUAUCAGCUUGUUGGUGGGGUGAGGCCUACCAAGGCGACGACGGGUAGCCGGCCUGAGAGGCGACCGGCCACACUGGGACUGAGACACGGCCCAGACUCCUACGGGAGGCAGCAGUGGGGAAUCUUGCGCAAUGGGCGAAAAGCCUGACGCAGCGACGCCGCGUGAGGGAUGACGGCC